Molecule: long non-coding RNA, 283 nt
Filed under: Salvia miltiorrhiza (redroot sage)
Lineage: Eukaryota; Viridiplantae; Streptophyta; Magnoliopsida; Lamiales; Lamiaceae
Description: long non-coding RNA (SMIL_LNC014393)
Source: RNAcentral
CUUAGAUUGAUUUGAAAAUUAGGACAAUAACUUUCGGACUUGUAAAAAUAGGACACUAAUUAUUUUUUAGAGUAAAAUAGGACACUAAUUAAUAAGCGUCGUAAAAAUAGGACAUUUUUCAGCCGAUAAUUGGCUAAAAAAUGUCCUGCGGAUGCAACACUUAUUAAUUAGUGUCCUAUUUUACUCUAAAAAAAUAAUUAGUGUCCUAUUUUUACAAGUCCGAAAGUUAUUGUCCUAAUUUCCAAAUCAAUCUAAGUUACUGUCCUAAAAAACCCUCGAACUC